UUGAACGCUGGCGGUAUGCUUUACACAUGCAAGUCGAACGGGCUAUGGGGCUUGCUCCAUAGUUAGUGGCGAACGGGUGAGUAAUAUAUCGGAACAUAUCCGGAAGUGGGGGAUAACGUAGCGAAAGUUACGCUAAUACCGCAUACGCCCUGAGGGGGAAAGCGGGGGAUCGCAAGACCUCGCGUGAUUGGAGCGGCCGAUGUCGGAUUAGCUAGUUGGUGGGGUAAAGGCCUACCAAGGCGACGAUCCGUAGCGGGUCUGAGAGGAUGAUCCGCCACACUGGGACUGAGACACGGCCCAGACUCCUACGGGAGGCAGCAGUGGGGAAUUUUGGACAAUGGGGGCAACCCUGAUCCAGCCAUGCCGCGUGAGUGAAGAAGGCCUUCGGGUUGUAAAGCUCUUUCAGACGGAAAGAAAUCGGGUGGGUGAAUAGCCUGCCUGGAUGACGGUACUGUCAGAAGAAGCACCGGCUAACUACGU
This 480-nucleotide ribosomal RNA is filed under the name uncultured bacterium. RNAcentral's name for it is "bacterial SSU rRNA". It matches the Rfam family "Bacterial small subunit ribosomal RNA", at positions 30 to 506 of the family's 1533-position model. The record is from RNAcentral.